RNAcentral lists this ribosomal RNA (253 nucleotides) under uncultured bacterium. RNAcentral describes it as "partial 16S ribosomal RNA". It matches the Rfam family "Bacterial small subunit ribosomal RNA", at positions 524 to 776 of the family's 1533-position model. The record is from RNAcentral.
CACGGGGGGUGCAAGCGUUAUUCGGAAUCACUGGGCGUAAAGAGCGCGUAGGCGGUCUCUUAAGUCAGAUGUGAAAGCCCGGGGCUCAACCCCGGAAGUGCAUUUGAAACUAAGGGACUUGAGUAUGGGAGAGGGAAGUGGAAUUCCUGGUGUAGCGGUGAAAUGCGUAGAUAUCAGGAGGAACACCGGUGGCGAUGGCGACUUCCUGUACCAAUACUGACGCUGAGGCGCGAAGGCGUGAGGAGCAAUCAGG